GUGAAAUGUUGGGUUAAGUCCCGCAACGAGCGCAACCCUUAUCCUUUGUUGCCAGCGGUCCGGCCGGGAACUCAAAGGAGACUGCCAGUGAUAAACUGGAGGAAGGUGGGGAUGACGUCAAGUCAUCAUGGCCCUUACGACCAGGGCUACACACGUGCUACAAUGGCGCAUACAAAGAGAAGCGACCUCGCGAGAGCAAGCGGACCUCAUAAAGUGCGUCGUAGUCCGGAUUGGAGUCUGCAACUCGACUCCAUGAAGUCGGAAUCGCUAGUAAUCGUGGAUCAGAAUGCCACGGUGAAUACGUUCCCGGGUCUUGUACACACCGA
Molecule: ribosomal RNA, 326 nt
Filed under: Shigella sp. BV30
Lineage: Bacteria; Pseudomonadati; Pseudomonadota; Gammaproteobacteria; Enterobacterales; Enterobacteriaceae
Description: bacterial SSU rRNA
Rfam family: Bacterial small subunit ribosomal RNA
Source: RNAcentral